RNAcentral lists this ribosomal RNA (528 nucleotides) under uncultured bacterium. Its description in RNAcentral is "bacterial SSU rRNA". It matches the Rfam family "Bacterial small subunit ribosomal RNA", at positions 355 to 896 of the family's 1533-position model. The record is from RNAcentral.
CAGGGAAUAUUGCACAAUGGGCGAAAGCCUGAUGCAGCAACGCCGCGUGCGGGAUGAAGGCCUUCGGGUUGUAAACCGCUUUCAGGAGGGAAGAAAAUGACGGUACCUCCAGAAGAAGCCCCGGCCAACUACGUGCCAGCAGCCGCGGUAAUACGUAGGGGGCAAGCGUUGUCCGGAUUUAUUGGGCGUAAAGGGCUCGUAGGCGGUUUGACAAGUCGGGCGUGAAAACCCGGGGCUCAACCCCGGGACGCCGGUCGAAACUGUUGUGGCUAGGUUCCGGUAGAGGUGAGUGGAAUUCUCGGUGUAGCGGUGAAAUGCGCAGAUAUCGAGAGGAACACCAGUAGCGAAGGCGGCUCACUGGGCCGGUAAAGACGCUGAGGAGCGAAAGCGUGGGGAGCAAACAGGAUUAGAUACCCUGGUAGUCCAUGCUGUAAACGUUGAACACUAGGUGUGGUGGACUCAUUGAUGUCUGCCGUGCCGACGCUAACGCAUUAAGUGUUCCGCCUGGGGAGUACGAUCGCAAGGUUA